Long non-coding RNA from Trifolium pratense (red clover), 822 nucleotides. RefSeq lists it as uncharacterized. The transcript has 6 exons. The record is from RefSeq and is a predicted model, not a curated record. Lineage: Eukaryota; Viridiplantae; Streptophyta; Magnoliopsida; Fabales; Fabaceae.
UUGAAGACAGCGACGGUCCAUUUGAGGCGGUAUCAAGUGAACCGCCGCCGCUCAUGUCAAUACUGACGUUUAAUGCGGCAUUCAUUCAACCGCCGUUGGUGUGUGUAAAUCUCGGCGGUUCCUGUGGUAAAGCGGCGGCAGUUUUAUAGUGUUCCGCGGCAGCUGGAUUAGAAAUAAAUGUUCGUUCACGAUUAGGAAUGAGUACCCCCUCUCUCUUAUUCUCUCGCACGAAAAUUUCACAACCCAGUUUUAGUGUGUAUCGCACGACCCCUUGUUUUAAAAAAAGAAAGCUUCAACACUUCUCUUCUCUUCUCUGCUUGUUCGACCCCUUGUUUUCAAUUUCAGUCAUAUAUUUUGUUGGACUGAAAGCAGUAGUAAGUGAAAGUGUGCAGCAACCACUACUCUGCUAUGACAACUUGAUCAGGACAAUUUUUCUAUUUCAAGAAGGAUAUUGUGUUUUCAAGGCUUACUGUCUUUGAUUGGCGUUGAUUACGGCGUUGGGAAAAAUACUCUAUUGUUGUAGACAAGGGGCAGUAGGAAGCAAGUGCCAUAGACAUGAUCGUGCCAGUAGGAUUGAGAGAAUCUUAAGCUUUUCAUGCAUCUGAUGGCAAUGCUGAACUGGUCUUGUCAAUGCAGUACAUCACCAAAGGGGAGCAGCCAAUUGAAUUUCCAUGACAGCUAUGUUUCUAUUCAAAGCUAUUGGCCCUGCUGCUGGUGGUACAAUGCACAAAUAACUUCAAUAUUGAGGAUGAUCCAUUAUUCUGACAAAGUGCAUGUGCUUAGGGAGGCCAUUAAUAUCCUGUGGAAAUCGAGCAUGGUCCA